UGGUGGAGUGAUUUGUCUGGUUAAUUCCGUUCACGAACGAGACCUCAACUCACUAAUUAGCUACGCCAAUCUUCGGAGAGGUGGGGCGCUUCUUAGAGGGACUUUGUGCUUCUAGUACAAGGAAGAUUGAGGCAAUAACA
RNAcentral lists this ribosomal RNA (140 nucleotides) under uncultured eukaryote. Its description in RNAcentral is "partial 18S ribosomal RNA". It matches the Rfam family "Eukaryotic small subunit ribosomal RNA", at positions 1299 to 1458 of the family's 1831-position model. The record is from RNAcentral.